Molecule: ribosomal RNA, 608 nt
Filed under: Psorotheciopsis cf. premneella
Lineage: Eukaryota; Fungi; Ascomycota; Lecanoromycetes; Ostropales; Graphidaceae
Description: partial large subunit ribosomal RNA
Rfam family: Eukaryotic large subunit ribosomal RNA
Source: RNAcentral
CAUAUCAAUAAGCGGAGGAAAAGAAACCAACAGGGAUUGCCUCAGUAACGGCGAGUGAAGCGGCAAAAGCUCAGAUUUGAAAUCUCUUUUUCGUUAAAGAAGAAGCGAGUUGUAAUCUGUAGAAGGUUGAAUGGUCGAAAUAUCCGAUUUAAGUUCCAUGGAAUAGGACAUCAUAGAGGGUGAGAAUCCCGUGAUUAUCGGAAACUAGACCAAUCGAUUCACCUUUCGACGAGUCGAGUUGUUUGGGAAUGCAGCUCUAAUUUGGUGGUAAAUUUCAUCUAAAGCUAAAUACCUGCCAGAGACCGAUAGCGAACAAGUAGAGUGAUCGAAAGAUGAAAAGCACUUUGAAAAGAGAGUUAAAUAGUACGUGAAAUUGUUGAAAGGGAAGCGCUUGCCAUUAGACUUGAUGAUCGGGAUUCAAUUUACUCAUGGGUGAAUCUACUUUCCGAUCCAUCAGGCCAGCAUCAGUUCGGAGAGGUUUAAAAAUGUUUUGGAAAUGUAGUUAUCGUCUCGGCGGUAAUGUUAUAGUCCAUUAUACCAUAAAUCUAUUCCGGACUGAGGUCUGCCUUUAUUGUUGGAUGCUGGCAUAAUGAUUGUAAGCGACCCGU